Molecule: long non-coding RNA, 3823 nt
Filed under: Vitis vinifera (wine grape)
Lineage: Eukaryota; Viridiplantae; Streptophyta; Magnoliopsida; Vitales; Vitaceae
Description: long non-coding RNA (VVIN_LNC003086)
Source: RNAcentral
CCCGGACAAGCUUCUUCCUAGCUGUAGAGCCACCUUCAUUUCAAACAAUUCCCCAUUCUCUCUUCUCCCCACAUCUCUUUCAUUCAGAUUUGACUCUAUGCUCUCUUCCAUCAGCCGGAAGAAGCCUGCGUUGCCUCUAUACAUCUCAAACACCAUGCCCACUUGCCAGCCAUGCUCCAUUGUGUUCACCACGCUUGCCAUGGCUCCAGCUACGACUCCUAGUGUCGCGGCCCAGGGACCAUGAGAAGAUCCCACGAACGCAGUUCCACAAGCCGAUAAGCCUGUCAAUAAGGGGCCAGAAAUGGCGAGUAUCUUGUUAACUUUCAAGGCUAUUUUGCCCAGCCUCAAAUAGUCUUCAGUGUCCUUCCUCUUCAAAACCCCAACAACUUCUCUCAUUUCUUCCUCCAACUCCACACUCCAACCAUUUCCAUCUGUUCUCCCACUAUGCCUUUCCUGUCUUUGCCUGUGCUGCGGCCACCAUACAGCAGGUUCCACAGUUUUGGGGAAUUUAUCAAGCAUGGCUCCUAGUAAAGGAAGCGGGAAUGCCUUGUCCAGUGCCAAAACUUUCUCCAUGGCUUCCUCAACAUCGUUACUAGUAGGAGUGCCACAAGAGAGUGUUCUUUGAAUCUGGCCAUGAAGCUGCUUAAACAGCCUCGCAGCAUUGCGCUGUUCUUCGACGAGUUGAGAUGGCUGUAUCUUAUUCAUCACCACCAACAUCCCAGUGGCUGCCAAAUACAUCAGAGUUGAAGAGAGCUUCAGGGCCACAAGGGGUCCUCCUACACUUGUAGCAGCAAUUCCAGCCAUGGUUGCAGCAGUGAGUGUGAUUGCAUUAAUGGAUGUCAAAAGAAGAUGGUUCCAAUUAUCACGCUGCUCCCCGAUAUUCUUGUGCAUCUCCACUCUAUCUGCAACAGCCUCCAUGAUUUCAUGGAGCUUAGCAAUCACCAUAGGAUCAGAAACAUUGCUCACAGAAGGCAAAGUAGUAUUAGGUCUGGACUCGUAUUUCUUCUCUACAUGGCUGGUGGUUGCAGCUGUGAGACCAACUCCCAUGUCCAGUACUUCCUGUACCAGAUCUCUAGCGGGGAGCUUCAGAGAUAGGCCGCCAGUCCGGAGCUUAGGCAUAUUGAUAGUAGCUCUUAUCAUUCCUCUCCGGCAACAAGAUAAGGAAUGAGGCAAUGAACCAAUAACGCCUGAAGAUUGAAGACUUGCCAUGUCCUCUCCUCGUACGAUCUGUAUGAGUUUCUUCUGGUUGCUAAGAUUGGGUUAUUCUAAUGGACGGGUAUUGAAUGGCUUAGGCUUGAAGAAGUGUAGUGAAAUGGGGUGGAGAUGCAACCUGGAUUAUAUAUAGGGAAUGGGAGUGGACCAAGUAUGCUGUUCAACGUUUGAAUGGGAUCAUGGGUCUUGAUUUAGACUGUUUCUCGUCUUCGGUUUAUUGGGGGUUUCACCCUUCAAUUAGGCUGCUUAUAAGCCAGGGCAUUCAAGCAGUCCUCCAUUGACUUUCAACCUGAAAAAACCAGUAAAACCAAGGAAUUGGCAAAGACAUUACAAGUAUAUAUAUUUUAAUUAACUGUACAAAAUCCGAAUGAUUAUGAACAAUUCCCACAGCUCAUUUAUGACUUUUUAGAGAUAUUUGUCAAAUGGAUUGAGGUAAUAUAUGACCAAGAAUUUAAAUUCAAAUUCGUGGUAAUAGCACUAAUGGGUCAUGACCACAAACAAUAAAAUCAAUCUUUAAUUUGCUUCUCCAAUAUUUCUGGGUUUCAAACCUGUAGCCAUGGACACCACCUUUUUUUUUUUUUUUUUUCUUUGUUUCCCCUCUUCUUCUUUUUUUUUUUUUUUUUUUUUUGUGACUAAAUUGUUGCAAAAUUUAAUGAGAAAUUUAAAUACUUUGCACUGAAACCUCUUGUGCCUUGCUUAUCACAAUGAUAACACUUAAAUUACCUAAUCUUUCUUGUUGCCUUUCUAUUUAGUUUUUCUUAAUCCAUAUUCUUUAGUUACUUUGUGACUAUCACCUAAAAUAGUAUUUUCCCAAUCAAAAUAACAAAAUGAAUCCUCCACUCGUGAUUUCUAUGUUUGAGUGAGUGGGUAUAUGAGAGAAAGAGAGUCCAAUGGUAAGAAAUUAAUAUGUGAAAUUGAAAAUAAUUAAAAAAUUUACCUAUUUCAAGUGCUCAAUUCUUACCUGAAUGCAUGAGGGCUUUUAGAUUUUCACCAAAAAAAUAUGAGAAAACUCAUAUACCUAGGAUUAUAAUGUUAAGAGGUUUAUAAUUUAUCGAAAAAAAUAAAAAUUAUAAUAAACAAUUGAUCAAUCAUCAUGUAGACAGUCAAACUGUAAACAAAUUUAACAACAUUUAUAUCGCUAUAUAUUGAAAUCGUGCAAUCAAUCCACAAAUUGACCAAAAAUACUUACUCCAUCACAUCUAAUGGUUUGAUGAUAUUUAAUAUUUAAAUUUUGGGAACCAAACAUAUUCUAAGAAAUGCCUUUUUUUUUUUUAACUAGAUCCAUCAUCCUCGGCUGUUGCCAAACAAUACUAAAAUUAGAUCUCCUUUUGGGCAUUUCAAUUAUAUAUUUGAACAAUGCAAAGGGGUGAUAAUAUAAUUAUGUUACCAGUUCUUCACUUUUGAGUAAAUAAAUGGGAAUGGUGAGGACAAAGGGAUAAUGUCUGCACAUCGACAAGCCACCCCACAAUUUCUUCUCUUUUGGUCAUAUUCUUGAUUGCAUUUUCGCCAAAGUUCACAUCACAUAAAUUUAAAAUUAAUUAAAUGAAAGGUAAUCAUAGAAAAUGUAGCCAUAAUUACGACCUUAAUGCCUCUUGGAGUCUAUUUAAUGGAAUGACAACUAUCUACUGUAAAAAGAAUCAUUUGGUAGCAAACAUAUUCGUUGACUUUGGCUCCUAUGAUAAAAGUCAGUGUCUCCUCGACACACUGUCUUAUUUCAAUAGAGUUCAAACAAGGAAUGAUAAUUUUGAACUUUUCCAUGUGUGGAUCAUUAAUUACGUGGUUUGUCUUCUUCCAAUGACUUUUAUGCAUAUUAUGGAUUCUAAUAGCCAUCCAACCCCAUAAGAAAAUGAAAAUUUCAACCUCAGGAGCCGCAUUUUCUUAGUUGUCAUUUGGAUUAUCAUGCUUUCUUGCACUAGAAAGAAAACCAAAGAAACUUAGAUGAUAAAGAAAAUCGAUAAAUUAUCACAGUGACCCGGAAAAUGCAUCAGUUUUAGUUGAAUUCAUAAUUUCUUAAUUUUCAGUUUUGGUGAGCAGAUGUGUUCAAAUUGCUGUAUAGAAAAUGGACUAAUUCAAUUUCCAUGGAAUAUUCAGACCUUUUAGCAGUCUGAUUUCAAUUGACUGAAUGAAUACAUGAAUUACUAGAUUGUACAGCCCUAUUGUGUUUAUAGACAAGGUUAGCUUACAAUGAUAUACAAGAUUUAGUGUAUUAUCAACAAAACUGAGGAUGAACCACCACGAUAUUAGAAGAGCUUGCUUGCGAACUCUUCAAUGGCCUCUCCUUUUUUAGAAGAAGAACAAGAGGAUGCUGCCAGACUCUUGAGCCCGGACAAGCUUCUUCCUAGCUGUAGAGCCACCUUCGUUUCAAACAAUUCCCCGUUCUCUCUUCUCCCCACAUCUCUUUCAUUCAGAUUUGACUCUAUGCUCUCUUCCAUCAUCCGGAAGAAGCCUGCGUUGCUUCUAUACAUCUCAAACACCAUGCCCACUUGCCCGCCAUGCUCCAUUGUGUUCACCACGCUUGCCAUGGCUCCAGCUACGACUCCUAGUGUGGCGGCCCAGGGACCGUGAGAAGAUCCCACGAACGCAGUUCCACAAGCCGCUAAGCCUGUCAAUA